This 271-nucleotide ribosomal RNA is filed under the name Bacillus cereus. RNAcentral describes it as "partial 16S rRNA". It matches the Rfam family "Bacterial small subunit ribosomal RNA", at positions 34 to 285 of the family's 1533-position model. Lineage: Bacteria; Bacillati; Bacillota; Bacilli; Caryophanales; Bacillaceae. The record is from RNAcentral.
CGCUGGCGGCGUGCCUACAUACCAUGCAAGUCGAGCGAACGGACCUAAGACGCUUGCCUCUCUACUGAAUGUUAGCGGCGGACGGGUGAGUAACACGUGGGUAACCUGCCCAUAAGACUGGGAUAACUCCGGGAAACCGGGGCUAAUACCGGAUAACAUUUUGAACCGCAUGGUUCGAAAUUGAAAGGCGGCUUCGGCUGUCACUUAUGGAUGGACCCGCGUCGCAUUAGCUAGUUGGUGAGGUAACGGCUCACCAAGGCAACGAUGCGUA